Molecule: transfer RNA, 88 nt
Filed under: Clostridia bacterium
Lineage: Bacteria; Bacillati; Bacillota; Clostridia
Description: tRNA-Ser
Rfam family: tRNA
About the family: Transfer RNA (tRNA) molecules are approximately 80 nucleotides in length. Their secondary structure includes four short double-helical elements and three loops (D, anti-codon, and T loops). Further hydrogen bonds mediate the characteristic L-shaped molecular structure. tRNAs have two regions of fundamental functional importance: the anti-codon, which is responsible for specific mRNA codon recognition, and the 3' end, to which the tRNAs corresponding amino acid is attached (by aminoacyl-tRNA synthetases). tRNAs cope with the degeneracy of the genetic code in two manners: having more than one tRNA (with a specific anti-codon) for a particular amino acid; and 'wobble' base-pairing, i.e. permitting non-standard base-pairing at the 3rd anti-codon position.
Source: RNAcentral
GGAGAGAUGUCUGAGUGGUCGAAAGUGCACGCUUGGAAAGCGUGUGUAGUGAAAGCUACCGCAGGUUCGAAUCCUGUUCUCUCCGCCA